GUUUUUGCAAAUGAGCUCUUCAAUUGGUUUUUUACUUCCAUCUGGCAUUUGGUGAGAGAUCACUGCACCAACACCUACUGGUGAAGCAUCACAUGCCAGCAUAAGUGGCAGAUCUGGGUUGAAAUGUACUAAGACAGUUUGAAAUCAGCUGUUUCUUGGCUUC
Thalassophryne amazonica is the source of this 163-nucleotide long non-coding RNA. RefSeq lists it as uncharacterized. NCBI's taxonomy places the organism in Eukaryota, Metazoa, Chordata, Actinopteri, Batrachoidiformes, Batrachoididae. The transcript has 4 exons. The record is from RefSeq and is a predicted model, not a curated record.